CUUCUAGUUUCUAACCCUCCAUUUAUAAAAUAAGAAAUAGAUUACAUUCUUCUUACCUUUUCCUACCUGUGCAAGAUAAUGAGGAUACUUGUAAACAGAUUUACAUUUUAAAAGAAAAUUAACAUAUAGUGGCAAUAUAUUUUUGGGUUAGUUUCAAGUGAAAGAAGGUUUGGAUGGAGCACACAGCCCAAAAGAGGUAAAAGCAGACAGAGAGCAAAAGCCAAUGAUUCUAAGAUACUGAGAUGAAAAUGGAUGCAAAGGAAUUUUAUGGCAGGUCCAGGUUAUUUGGCUCAACUAUUUGAUCAUAAAUAAGUUGGCCAGUUGGCAUCUGGGGUUGGUACAUUUCAUUCAUUCAUUCAAUAAACAUUUAUUUACCUCUUUGAUGUUCAUUGGGUUUUUAUCAAUGUAGAACAUCAGGUCCUUGCUUUCGUGAAACUUACAUUCUAGUGCAGGAGACAGAUAAUAAGAACUUCAACACAUAAAUUUACAAUUCUAGUAGCUAUAAAAAGAACAAAGGGUAAAAAAAGAAAAUAAGUAACUAUAUGCAGUGGUGGAUGCUUAUUAUAACUAGACUUACUGUGGUCAUUAUGCCAUGAUAUUUACAUAUAUUGAAUCAUGUUUUACACCUGAAAACAAUCUUAUAUGUCAGUUAUAUCUCAAUAAAACAAAAAUAAUAAAGGAGAGUAUGAAUAUAGUUCAUUGUUGGGGUAGGACAGGGUAUAGAUUAGAUCCAAAUGGUUAGAGAAUGCCUUGUUAUGGAAGUGAUAUUUCAAAGUAAGAUAAUACACCAUGCAAGGAUCUAGGGCAAUCAACUCCCAUAUGAAUGAGUACAAGUAAAACCUUGGGGUUUUCGAAGAAUAAGAAAGGUUGAUUUGUCUCGCAUAAGGAAAAUGAUACAUGAGGCUGAAGAGGUAGGCAGCAUCAGAUCAUCUAGGCCACAAUAAAAAGUGUUUUAUCUGAACUCCUAGGGAAGCCUGCUAAAUACUAUAUAGUAGGAAGAAGGCUUAAUAAAAAUCUCUCCUUAAUAAAAUCAAUACCUUCACCAGGUCUUCCUGUCUUGGAACUACUUAUUUACUUAUAUGUUUGUUUAUGUGUGCCUUUAUUAUAUUAUGUUACAUCUCAUUCUAUUAAGGAUCUGAUAUACUAAAGAGCACCAAAAGAAAGAAUAAGAGAAAUGUGAAUGUUUUGUCCCUUUUUUGGCCACACCCACAGCAUAUGAAAGUUGCCAGGCCAGGGAUUGAAUCCAAGCCACAGCUGUGACCUAUACCACAGGGGCAGCAACACCAGACCCUUAACCCACCAGGCCAGGAACCAAACCUGCACUGCCUCAGAGACAAUGCCAGAUCUUAACCACUGUGGCACAGUGAGAACUCCUAGAAAUGUGAAUUUUAAAAGGACAAAUAGAAUGAUGAUUUACACAUUAUAGGAUAUUCUGCUGGCAUUAAGUCAAGUCUCUAAAUGUGUUAUGAACUUCCCUUAAAAUGAAGUGGGGAAUGGGAAAACAUUAUCUAUUAUACAAUUUUCAUUAACUGUAAAAGGAAAACAAGUUGGUUCAUGGGGAAAGCUAAAUUACUGGUACCUAGUUCUCUCAACCUCUUUCAUGGUGAUUCAUAUGAGAGAGACUAAGAGAUACACUGAACAGUGGCUCCCCAAAAUGUCUGACAUAUAUAUAGUUCAAUACAGCUGAUUCUUAUGGCAUUUCUUAAUAAAAUCAAAAGUAUUAUAAGGAAGUAUAAAUCAGUGUUAGCAAUUAUUCCCAGAUCUAAGUUCUGUGGUACAAAUAUCAACUUUCUGAUGCUCUGCCUUAAUCCAAGUCUAACCCUUUAUCUCACACCAGUCAGAACAGCCAUCAUCAAAAAGUCUACAAAUAAUAAAUGCUGGAGAGGGUGUGAAGAAAAGGGAAUCUUUCUACACUGUGGGGAUGUAAACUGGUAUGGCCACAACAGAGAACAAUAUGGAGGUUCCUUAAAAAGAACUAAAAAACAGAGUUACCAUAUGCUACAACAAUCCCACUCCUGGGCAUAUAUCCAGAGAAAACUCUAAUUCAAAAAAAUGUACACACCCAGAAGUUCAGAGAAGCACAAUCUGUGAUAGUCAAGACAUGGAAGCAACCUAAAUGUCCACUGACAGAUGAAUGGAUAAAAAAGAUGAUAGAUAGAUAGAUAGAUAGAGAUAGGUAGAUAUUAUUAUAUGAGAUCUUAUUAUAUUAGUCAGCCAUAAGAAAACAAUGAGGUAACGCCAAUUACAGCAACAUAGGUGGAUACAGACAUCAUCAUACUUAAGGAAAGUCCCAAGAGAAGUGAAUAAUGAACAUAGAGACAUCUCUUGACACCAGAAGUAAAUGAAUCCUUAAGGAUCAGGGAAAACAGGGCUUACUUCCUGGCAGGCUAAGCUUAUAACCCCUCCAACCUUCAGCAAAAACAUGCAAGGACCCUUAUCAUAAUCACUUCCACUUUUUUUCUCCUCUCUAGUUAUUGUCAAGAAGACUAUCUCUUCUCUCUAAGAAAAUAAAAAAGAAACUUUCGAGAAGCUUCAGUGUAGAAUUACCCCUGCUGUUCCAGGUAAUAAGGUUAUAUUGUUUAGAAGAGAGGAAAAAAAAAAAAAAAACAUAAUCUACCAGCUUUUAACCAAAGCUCUCUUUGCUACAACCAUACACAUGCAACCAAUAUUUCUUAAGUUCUUACUGGUCAGGGAAUGGUCAAGUUACUUCCACAUGAAUUUAUUUCAGUCAGUAAUCUUUAUAACAGCCCUUUAAAGAAUACCCAUUUUAUAGCUAAGGAAACUGAGUAUUUAUUUUCUAUGACUAGUAAAACAAAGCUCUUUAGUUCUAAAUCCAAUGCUUUUUCUAUUAUAUACAGUAGCCUACCACACGUCCUAGUCUGGAAAAUUACCCUUCUUCUUAAAUAUUUUCCUGAAAUAGAUUAUCCAAUGUUACACAUGGGGCAGAGCCCUCACUGAAACUACACAAAUUAACUAAAGGAGGGAACUGACUUGUCGUGAGACAUCUCUGGCUUGGAUAUAUAGAGAGGGCCAGCAAAUAGGUACCAAGGCUUCUACUGUACUGAGCUUUAAGAGGAAAUUAAAAAAUCAGGGAAUGUCUCCCUUGCACUCUGGGUAGCAUGACCUGGCUUGCUCAGAAAUAGUCUAUCUCAACUUUUCCAGGGUUAACUUAUUUAACAAGUAAUCCAAAAAAAAAAAGGGGGGUGAUUAUUGUUAAUUAACUCAGUGCAAGUAGCCUGGGUACAUAAACACAGACCUCAUUGUACCCAUCUUCAUAGUGCCCUCUGUAGUUGAUGCAAGGUGAAUUUACCAGCCUUUUAUGUUUGGUUGGUUGGUUGGUUGGUUUUUUGAGAGCUUCAGCUUAGACAUAAGGUGGUAACAUCAUAAUUUCUUCUGUACAGAGGAGCUCAAUAAUAAAAGGUAAGUAACAAUACAGUCUGGUUAAAUAUAUUAGAUUGAGCAUAAAAUAGUGAUGAUAAUUCCUGUUCUCUAGGAUAUCUUCCUGUUUUCUAAAAUAGCUUUGUAAGACUUCUGGCACAGAAUUGCUGAGAGGGAAAGGUUUUACUUAAAAGUCUAACAUGAUCAAUUUUUCCAUUUUAAGAAGCACUGCGUUGCUGCUUGGAAAAUGGAGGACAAAAGGGCAAAACUAGAAACAAGGAGCUGUGUUAGAAUGCUGCUGCAGAAGUCCAAAACAGAAAGGAUGAUAGUUUGAACUUAAGAGAUGACAGUAAAGACAGAGGAGUGAAUGAUACGAGCCAUAUUUGAGAAACAGAAGCAUCCUGCUGAUGAAUUAGACAUGAGGGGUAAAAGAUGUAACAUUGAAAUAAACCAGACCAGAAAGAGUAUGUUCUUGAACAUUAACUAAGCCAUUUAAAGUGCUGAAAAUAUUUUGAGAAGAUAGACAAAGUUUAUCACACACACAAAAAUACCUUUUUAAAAGGAUCCUGCAAAACACUUUGAUUUAUUUUUAUUAUUAUUAUUAUUAUUUUUUAUUUUCUUGGGCCACACCCAUGGCAUAUGGAGGUUCCCAGGCUAGGGGUCUAAUCGGAGCUGUAGCCACCAGCCUAUGCCACAGCCACAGCAAUGCCAGAUCUGAGCUGCGUCUGCAACCUACACCACAGCUCACAGCUAUGCCGGAUCCUUAACACACUGAGCAAGGCCAGGGAUCGAACCCACAACCUCAUGGUAGUCGGAUUCGUUAACCACUGAGCCAUGAAGGGAACUCCAAAACACUUUGAUUUAAACUGUCCUAACCACAAAAGGUAAUAAAUUAUUUUCACCUAUGGAAAAACUGAAUGACUUUUCUCUUAGUUGGUAUUAAACUGUAGACCUAAAAAUGACUUUUUUACCUUUACGAAAUUUAGAGUUCUUAAAUGACUUUUGCAUGUUAUAGCCAAUUUUCUUUUGACUGACUCCUUCUAUUCAUUAGAAGUUAUUGUAUCAUUAUGGCUCCAAUAUUAACUAAAAUUCCCAUUCAAAGAAAAGGGCAUUAGGAAAAAUACUUCAGAAAAACAGAGAAUUGCUUCAGAAAAUGCCAUAUUCUGUACAUGUACAUGAUGAAAUACUACUCAGUCAUAAAAGAAAAAUGAAAUGAUGCCUUUUUCAGCAAUACUGACGAACCUAGAGAUUAUCAUACUAAGAGAAGUAAGUCAGAAAGAGAAAGACAAAUAUAUCAGUAUAUAUGGACUCUAAAACAUGAUACAAAUGAACUUAUUUACAAAACAGAAGCAGGCUCACAGACAUAGAAAACAAAUUUAUGGAUACCAUAGGGAAAAGGCGGUGGGAGGAGGGAUAAAUUAGGAUUUGGGACUAGGAGAUACAAACUGCUAUAUAUAAAGUAGAUAAACAACAAGGUCUUACUGUGUAGUACAGGGAACUAUAUCCAAUAUCCUGUAAUUAAACCAUAAUGGAAAAGAGUUUUUUUAAAAAAAUAAAAUACCGCUUUCUUUCUGAUGACAUGUGGAAUCUGAAAAAAGGACAGACUGAACUUCUUUGCAGAACAGAUGCUGACUCACAGACAUUAAAAAACUUAGGGUCUCUGGAGGAGACAGUUUGGGGGGUGGGGGGAUGUGCUUGGAUUGUGGGAUGGAAAUCCUGUGAAAUUGGACUGUGAUGAUCAUUAUACAACUAUAGAUGUGAUAAAUUCAUUUGAGUAAUAAAAAAAUUUUUUAAAAUACCACUUUCUGAACAUUUUCAUCCUCAAUAAAAAUGGUAUCAAGUAAUGCAAAUACAUAUUAGAUAUUUUAUGUCUGGUUUAAGUUCACCUUCAAGAGAUGAAUAUGUGGUACCUGAAACUUAAUCUCAGUCCCUAGCCACAUGUCCUUAAAAUCUGAGAGGAAAGGGCAUUUAGAAAGGGUAAGUUUAUGGUACAAGAACCAAAUCCUCCCACAUAUGAGGUACUGAAAGACCUGAGGUAACUGUAGACAUAAACUACAAGGAUCUUGGGAAAUUUUAUCAGCCACAUGAGUCCCCCAUGUCACUGAAACCAUAUAAAAUCUGUAACUAGAUGUGGCUCAAAGAUGGACAGUUCUGCACAUAUUUAAUAAUUUUCAAAACAUUAACAGUUUAUUAAUCUCCUGUCACAGUUUUUCUUCCUCU
Molecule: long non-coding RNA, 5598 nt
Filed under: Sus scrofa (pig)
Lineage: Eukaryota; Metazoa; Chordata; Mammalia; Artiodactyla; Suidae
Description: lncRNA (ENSSSCG00000062367.1)
Source: RNAcentral